AUUAAGAAGCUAUAAUA
RNAcentral lists this transfer RNA (17 nucleotides) under Mammuthus primigenius (woolly mammoth). RNAcentral describes it as "partial tRNA-Lys". The record is from RNAcentral. Lineage: Eukaryota; Metazoa; Chordata; Mammalia; Proboscidea; Elephantidae.